RNAcentral lists this unclassified non-coding RNA (229 nucleotides) under Hevea brasiliensis (rubber tree). Lineage: Eukaryota; Viridiplantae; Streptophyta; Magnoliopsida; Malpighiales; Euphorbiaceae. The record is from RNAcentral.
GCUGCAGAAUCCAAAGUUCUCCACGCCCUUUACAAUCUUCUUAAUAACCUAUAUAGUGGAACUUGAACCUAUGCAGUCAAGUUGACACUGUUGCAUAGUAGCAUCUAUAAGCGGUCAUUACACAAGCAGAUUGCCCACCAUGCAGCAAAAUGGAAAAUAGAAAUGACCGUAUGCAAUUGAACACAGCUGACCUUGUAAAAUCCAUGGCUGAAUAAAAUAAAGAACAAAG